This 279-nucleotide ribosomal RNA is filed under the name uncultured bacterium. RNAcentral's name for it is "partial 16S ribosomal RNA". It matches the Rfam family "Bacterial small subunit ribosomal RNA", at positions 506 to 784 of the family's 1533-position model. The record is from RNAcentral.
UGCCAGCCGCCGCGGUAAUACGGAGGGGGUUAGCGUUGUUCGGAAUUACUGGGCGUAAAGCGCACGUAGGCGGAUCGGAAAGUUGGGGGUGAAAUCCCGGGGCUCAACCCCGGAACUGCCUCCAAAACUAUCGGUCUAGAGUUCGAGAGAGGUGAGUGGAAUUCCGAGUGUAGAGGUGAAAUUCGUAGAUAUUCGGAGGAACACCAGUGGCGAAGGCGGCUCACUGGGUCACAACUGACGCUGAGGCACGAAAGCGUGGGGAGCAAACAGGAUUAGAUA